RNAcentral lists this ribosomal RNA (1641 nucleotides) under Escherichia coli. RNAcentral's name for it is "partial 23S ribosomal RNA". It matches the Rfam family "Bacterial large subunit ribosomal RNA", at positions 518 to 2144 of the family's 2925-position model. The record is from RNAcentral. Lineage: Bacteria; Pseudomonadati; Pseudomonadota; Gammaproteobacteria; Enterobacterales; Enterobacteriaceae.
AAAGAACCCCGGCGAGGGGAGUGAAAAAGAACCUGAAACCGUGUACGUACAAGCAGUGGGAGCACGCUUAGGCGUGUGACUGCGUACCUUUUGUAUAAUGGGUCAGCGACUUAUAUUCUGUAGCAAGGUUAACCGAAUAGGGGAGCCGAAGGGAAACCGAGUCUUAACUGGGCGUUAAGUUGCAGGGUAUAGACCCGAAACCCGGUGAUCUAGCCAUGGGCAGGUUGAAGGUUGGGUAACACUAACUGGAGGACCGAACCGACUAAUGUUGAAAAAUUAGCGGAUGACUUGUGGCUGGGGGUGAAAGGCCAAUCAAACCGGGAGAUAGCUGGUUCUCCCCGAAAGCUAUUUAGGUAGCGCCUCGUGAAUUCAUCUCCGGGGGUAGAGCACUGUUUCGGCAAGGGGGUCAUCCCGACUUACCAACCCGAUGCAAACUGCGAAUACCGGAGAAUGUUAUCACGGGAGACACACGGCGGGUGCUAACGUCCGUCGUGAAGAGGGAAACAACCCAGACCGCCAGCUAAGGUCCCAAAGUCAUGGUUAAGUGGGAAACGAUGUGGGAAGGCCCAGACAGCCAGGAUGUUGGCUUAGAAGCAGCCAUCAUUUAAAGAAAGCGUAAUAGCUCACUGGUCGAGUCGGCCUGCGCGGAAGAUGUAACGGGGCUAAACCAUGCACCGAAGCUGCGGCAGCGACGCUUAUGCGUUGUUGGGUAGGGGAGCGUUCUGUAAGCCUGCGAAGGUGUGCUGUGAGGCAUGCUGGAGGUAUCAGAAGUGCGAAUGCUGACAUAAGUAACGAUAAAGCGGGUGAAAAGCCCGCUCGCCGGAAGACCAAGGGUUCCUGUCCAACGUUAAUCGGGGCAGGGUGAGUCGACCCCUAAGGCGAGGCCGAAAGGCGUAGUCGAUGGGAAACAGGUUAAUAUUCCUGUACUUGGUGUUACUGCGAAGGGGGGACGGAGAAGGCUAUGUUGGCCGGGCGACGGUUGUCCCGGUUUAAGCGUGUAGGCUGGUUUUCCAGGCAAAUCCGGAAAAUCAAGGCUGAGGCGUGAUGACGAGGCACUACGGUGCUGAAGCAACAAAUGCCCUGCUUCCAGGAAAAGCCUCUAAGCAUCAGGUAACAUCAAAUCGUACCCCAAACCGACACAGGUGGUCAGGUAGAGAAUACCAAGGCGCUUGAGAGAACUCGGGUGAAGGAACUAGGCAAAAUGGUGCCGUAACUUCGGGAGAAGGCACGCUGAUAUGUAGGUGAAGUCCCUCGCGGAUGGAGCUGAAAUCAGUCGAAGAUACCAGCUGGCUGCAACUGUUUAUUAAAAACACAGCACUGUGCAAACACGAAAGUGGACGUAUACGGUGUGACGCCUGCCCGGUGCCGGAAGGUUAAUUGAUGGGGUUAGCGCAAGCGAAGCUCUUGAUCGAAGCCCCGGUAAACGGCGGCCGUAACUAUAACGGUCCUAAGGUAGCGAAAUUCCUUGUCGGGUAAGUUCCGACCUGCACGAAUGGCGUAAUGAUGGCCAGGCUGUCUCCACCCGAGACUCAGUGAAAUUGAACUCGCUGUGAAGAUGCAGUGUACCCGCGGCAAGACGGAAAGACCCCGUGAACCUUUACUAUAGCUUGACACUGAACAUUGAGCCUUGAUGUGUAGGAU